RNAcentral lists this ribosomal RNA (253 nucleotides) under uncultured bacterium. RNAcentral describes it as "partial 16S ribosomal RNA". It matches the Rfam family "Bacterial small subunit ribosomal RNA", at positions 524 to 776 of the family's 1533-position model. The record is from RNAcentral.
UACGUAGGGUGCAAGCGUUAAUCGGAAUUACUGGGCGUAAAGCGUGCGCAGGCGGUGAUGUAAGACAGAUGUGAAAUCCCCGGGCUCAACCUGGGAACUGCAUUUGUGACUGCAUCGCUGGAGUACGGCAGAGGGGGAUGGAAUUCCGCGUGUAGCAGUGAAAUGCGUAGAUAUGCGGAGGAACACCGAUGGCGAAGGCAGCCCCCUGGGCUAACACUGACGCUCAUGCACGAAAGCGUGGGGAGCAAACAGG